This 2010-nucleotide ribosomal RNA is filed under the name Triticum aestivum (bread wheat). RNAcentral describes it as "partial small subunit ribosomal RNA". The record is from RNAcentral. Lineage: Eukaryota; Viridiplantae; Streptophyta; Magnoliopsida; Poales; Poaceae.
AUGGUUUUUAACGGACCCAGCCCAGUGGAGAUGGCAACAAAACCAUACUACGCGGUGCCGCUAACCCAACAUUAUUCCAUGGCCGUCAAGCCCAAACCCGCAACCUCCGCUUGCCUCGCCGCCGCCGUCCAUGGAGACCUCAAAAUCGCCGGCGCGGCCCUUCUCGCCGCCGCGGGAGCCCUCCGCGGCGACGGUGCUGCUGUGCCCUUGCCUGGUGCUCCUUAUCCUCGCCCUCAUCGCCACAUCUAUCGCCCUCACGGUCCACUUCCGCCUCUAUUGCCACUCCCCUGUCGGCCACCUCAUCUCGCCCCACCGCUGCCCGCGCCACAUCUGACCUCCGCCGCAAUCAACCUCCGGGGUGAGGGUGCGGGCGCGGGCCUGCUUCCCAGCCGCGCGCUACCUCUACUUUCAGCGAGAUCCCGUUCCCUCCACGCUGCGUCGCUGGCGUGGGGGGCCGACGCUCCGUUCCGACUCGCUGGGUCAAGAUGCCUCUCGACCUCCACGUCCUCCGCCUCUGAAGACGACGACGAGGGGGGCUCGCCGCCGCAGGUGCCGUCGAGCCACCCGGAGCACGUGGGCCGCUUGUGCGCCGCCAUCGCGGACGUCAUCACCGCUGGCGCCGACGCGAACCUGGAGGCAGCGCUCUCCGCGCUGUCGCUGCCGCUCUCCGAGGCGCUCGUGAUUGCUGUCCUCGACCGAUUCAAUCACGCACACAAGCCAUCCCGCCGCUUCUUCCAGUGGGCCGCCGCAUCUGGGGGGUUCGCACACACACCCGUCACCUACUGCAAGAUGCUGCACAUCCUUGGCAAGGCGAGGCAGUUCGAGACGAUGGUUGCCCUAGUCCAUGAAAUGGGGAAGGCAGGCGCCCUUUGCAUGGACGCCUUCAAGAUUUCCAUCAAGUCGUUCGCCGCCGCCGGCGAGAUCAAGAAUGCAGUUGGUGUGUUCGAGAUGAUGAGGGUGAACGGCUUUGAUGAUGGGGUGGAGUCGUUCAAUUGCUUGCUAUUCGCUUUGGCCCAUGAGGGGCUGGGGAAGGAGGCAGCUCAGGUGUUCAGCAGAAUGCAUGAACGGUACACUCCGGACUUGCGCUCAUACACAGCCAUGUUGAUGGCAUGGUGCAAUGGAAAGAACCUGGUGGAGGCUGGGCGGGUUUGGAAUGAGAUGCUGGAGAAGGGGAUGAAGCCAGACGUUGUCGUGCACAACACAAUGAUUGAGGGGUUGCUUCGUGGGCAGAGGCGGCCUGAGGCUGUGAAGAUGUUUGAGCUGAUGAAGGCAAAGGGGCCUCCCCCAAAUGUGUGGACUUACACAAUGUUGAUUCGAGACCAUUGUAAGCGGGGAAAGAUGGACAUGGCAAAGCGGUGGUUUGAGGAGAUGCAAGAGGAUGGGUGCCAGCCGGAUGUUGCUACCUAUACGUGCUUGCUUGUGGGAUAUGGCAAUGCAAAGCGAAUGGAUAGAGUGACUGCAAUGUUGGAGGAAAUGGCACAGAAGGGAUGCCCCCCUGAUGGCCGAACGUACAAUGCGCUGAUUAAGCUGCUCAAGAAUAGGAAUAUGCCAGAUGAUGCAGUCAGGAUAUACAAAAAAAUGAUAAAUAAGGGGCUUGAACCCACGAUCCAUACAUACAACAUGAUGAUGAAGUUGUAUUUCCUUCGUGGGACGAACUAUGCAAUGGGUUGCGCAGUGUGGGACGAGAUGCAUCGGAAGGGGAUUUGUCCUGAUGUGAACGCAUACACUGUGUUUAUUAAUGGUCACAUACGACACGGCAGACCUGAGGAAGCAUGUAAAUUUAUCGAAGAGAUGAUCCAGAAAGGGAUGAAGGCUCCACAAAUAGACUACAACAAGUUUGCUGCAGACUUCUCCAAGGCUGGGAAGCCGGACAUAUUGUUUGAAUUAGCUCAGAAGGUGAAGUUUACAGGGAAAUUUGAUGAAUCUAAUGUGUUCCAUCAGUGGGGAGAGAGAAUGAGAAGUCGGGUCAAGCAGGCUGUCCCUAAUCAGACUAGGAGCAGGACGUUGUAA